AGCGGGCUAGUGGAAAGGCACCACACCUGGCUCAUAACCAGGAGGACCCCGUUCAAUUCGGGGGCCCGCAACCA
RNAcentral lists this transfer RNA (74 nucleotides) under candidate division WWE3 bacterium RIFCSPHIGHO2_01_FULL_48_15. Its description in RNAcentral is "tRNA-Met". It matches the Rfam family "tRNA". Rfam says of the family: Transfer RNA (tRNA) molecules are approximately 80 nucleotides in length. Their secondary structure includes four short double-helical elements and three loops (D, anti-codon, and T loops). Lineage: Bacteria; candidate division WWE3. The record is from RNAcentral.